AUUGAACGCUGGCGGCAUGCCUUACACAUGCAAGUCGAACGGCAGCACGGGAGCAAUCCUGGUGGCGAGUGGCGAACGGGUAAGUAAUAUAUCGGAACGUGCCCAGUCGUGGGGGAUAACGUAGCGAAAGCUACGCUAAUACCGCAUACGAUCUACGGAUGAAAGCGGGGGAUCGCAAGACCUCGCGCGAUUGGAUCGGCCGAUAUCAGAUUAGGUAGUUGGGGGGGUAAAGGCUCACCAAGCCGACGAUCUGUAGCUGGUCUGAGAGGACGACCAGCCACACUGGGACUGAGACACGGCCCAGACUCCUACGGGAGGCAGCAGUGGGGAAUUUUGGACAAUGGGCGCAAGCCUGAUCCAGCAAUGCCGCGUGCAGGAUGAAGGCCUUCGGGUUGUAAACUGCUUUUGUACGGAACGAAACGGCGAGCUCUAAUUCAGUUUGCUAAUGACGGUACCGUAAGAAUAAGCACCGGCUAACUACGUGCCAGCAGCCGCCGUAA
RNAcentral lists this ribosomal RNA (500 nucleotides) under uncultured bacterium. RNAcentral describes it as "partial 16S ribosomal RNA". It matches the Rfam family "Bacterial small subunit ribosomal RNA", at positions 30 to 523 of the family's 1533-position model. The record is from RNAcentral.